GACGGAGGAUGCAAGCGUUAUCCGGAAUGAUUGGGCGUAAAGCGUCCGCAGGUGGCAGUUCAAGUCUGCUGUCAAAGACCGGGGCUUAACUUCGGAAAGGCAGUGGAAACUGAACAGCUAGAGUAUGGUAGGGGCAGAGGGAAUUCCAGGUGUAGCGGUGAAAUGCGUAGAUAUCUGGAGGAACACCGGUGGCGAAGGCGGCAUCCUGGACCGGUAUUGACGCUGAGGAGCGAAAGCCAGGGGAGCAAACGGG
Molecule: ribosomal RNA, 253 nt
Filed under: uncultured bacterium
Lineage: Bacteria
Description: partial 16S ribosomal RNA
Rfam family: Bacterial small subunit ribosomal RNA
Source: RNAcentral